Orcinus orca (killer whale) is the source of this 4973-nucleotide long non-coding RNA. RefSeq lists it as uncharacterized. The transcript is spliced from 3 exons. The record is from RefSeq and is a predicted model, not a curated record. NCBI's taxonomy places the organism in Eukaryota, Metazoa, Chordata, Mammalia, Artiodactyla, Delphinidae.
CGCGGAGCUCAGCCUUAGUCUCGCGAAAUUGAGCGAGGUUACGGAAGCCGAAAGGAUUGGGCCAAGCUUUUCUGGAGCUAAGGGAAGACUGCGGAUUUGAGGCCCUGGAGAUAUAAAGAUAAACAGAACAAAACAAAACAAAACAACCCUGGUUCUUGGCUGGCACACAGUUCAAUGGAGGAGUAGACAUAAGAAGAAACAAAUAUGGCACAGUGUAUAUUUUCUGGACUUCAACCUGAAACUGCUAUCAGAUAUCUUGACACUUCGAAUAAAGUCUACACAAAAGAGAACAGAGCUGAGAGAUGGAAAGAUGCUGAAUCCCAAUGACAUCCUUUGAAAUGCUGGGUGAAGCUGGGCCUGAAGAUAGAGCUACCUCUAUAGUUUUCAGAUACUUAUGUCAAUAAAUACUCUUGUUUGCUUAGAUAACCUUGAGUUAGAUUUUAUAUUACCUCCAAAAGAGUACUAUAUUGGAUAUUUUCCAUUUGCCCUCCAAAUGCACUCUCUACUCUUCUCCACCCUCUCUGUGCCCCAGGGGACUAACCUAUCUGAAUUGCAUCAAAGAGUUCUGUUGCCCUCUGGUUUCUGGUUGUGUUCAGCCAAUGGAAGUCUCUCUGGAGACUGAAGUCAGGGCAAUUAUUCCCCGUUUAUUCCUAGGGGCUCUCACUGGUAGAUACGAAUAGGUUGGCUGGUCCUUCUUGCAGAGGCUGUAGAUCCUGUCAAGUGUCCUUCUCUCUCCAGGUUUGAGUAGCUUUUUUCUCCCUUCACACCAUCUGAUGUAGGGGAGUAGUACCUCCCUACAAUUGCUAGUCCUGGAUUAAAGCAUUAUGCUUAAUUGAUUUCCUGUAACCUUUCCCAUACUUUUGUAGUCUCUCUAUUAAAUGCUCCUCAGUUAUCCAGUUUGAGGCUAAUCCAGAGCCAUCUCUUUCUGCCAGAACCUGAGGGAUACAUAAUCCAUUUGGUCUUCAAAAUAGAGGAAAAUGAGGUAGUUUUAAAAGACAUAAUCAGACUUGCCAUUUGAAUAAUUUAUUGCUUGGUGGUGAAUGCUCAAUGGAAUAUCACAGCAAGGCUUUAGACUUUUUGCAAUGCGUUAAAGAAAGUCUUUGGUAAAGGGAACUGAGGCCUGUUGGCAUCUAUAUGAGCUAGGACUCACUUUAAGAUUUUGGAUUCUCUUCCAGUCUGUCACUCACAGAAACUACCUUUUAGUGCAACCAUGGUGGGAUUCUUCUUUGUUAUCCAUAGUAGCUCUAAGUAAGCAUCACAAUGCUCUCACAAACUUACAUUUUCACUUCUGCCGGUCUAAAAAGAGGGCUACUUGAAUUUCUGUGAAUAAAUGAAUAAAGAAAUAAUCUAGAAAUGCACACCAAAUUAAAUGGCAGCAAUCUAUAUGCAAGUAAAGCAUUCAUUUACAUUCAUUGAAUUUAUAUCCUGUGAUUAUUUGCUUUAAUUUUUUUUGUACCAUCUAUGUAAAAAGGGUUUCCUGAGAAAAUUAACAAUAUUAAUAAAACUAACAGGUUUACGUUAAAAACUACUCAAGAGAACAAACCUUCCAUGGGUCUUUAUAUACUUCAGAAGGACAUAGCUGUAAAUAUGCCAAUUUCAAAUUAUUCAUCGAAGUAAUUUCUCAACUAGGUAUCAUAUAAUUACUGCAUGUAUUUUAAGUAGUAAGUUUACUUUAAUGUAAUUUAUCUUUUAAACUUUUUACCACGUUAGCCUUUUCUUCAGUUAGUCUGAAUGAUGAGCACUGAUGAGCUUUUUUAGUGAUAAAGUGUUAAAAGAAUUACCAUACUGAAUAUACAUAAUAGAGUUAUAGCAGGUAGAUAUUCAGUAUUAACCUGAGGGUAUGGAGUAUAUUCAGUAGUCAAGAUGAAGCAAAAUAUUAUUUAUACUUUAAGUUGAGAACACUUUAUUAAGUCAAUCAAGAUACUUUCCACCUCAUCUAGGUUUUCCUGACUCUCCACUUACAGCACAAUUUUUACACUGGACAGCAGUUCAAACUAAUAAUAAGUAUAUGGUUGCUAUAUUUUUUCAAACUAUAACAUCUGUUUAUGGUGAUAAUGGAACAAAAUAUUUGAAAUUGUCCCGACCUAAGGAAAAAAAUCUAAGCCAUAAGGUUGCUAUGUGUACAAUGUUUUACGUGUAACACAUUUCCUCUCAAUCUCUUUUGUGAAAGGAAAAUCAAAAUGGAGUCAGUAUUGCUAAGAGAGCUUUCUAAAAUGGAGCUGGGAGACCAUUGAGGAAGUGUGACUUAUGUGCAUCUCAGCCCAGAUGGAAUCUCACCUUUUGAACACUUAUUGUCCUACUCAAGACACUUAUCCAUCAUGUACCCUAAAACAACUUGUGACAACCUAUCUGCUUAUUGAAUCCUUACCCUAAAACAACUCAUGAUUCCUUAAGCACAAAUAUCCCCUGACUUGCAUCAGAGUCAAUCACAAUUCUCUCGCAAGUUAACAACCUUGUGGCUUUUGUCUUUUUAAACUCCUGACUGAUUCUCUUCUUCGAGCAGUCUUUCGGUUUCAUCCGAAUCUGUGUCUCCCAAAUUGCAAUUCUUAAGACUCCAAAGCUCUUUGUUCUUUGCAGCCUCAAUACUGAUUAUUGUUUGACAUUUUCAACAGCACAACUGCUUUAAAAGUAUGUACCAGUCUCCACAGAAAUCUAAUAGAUUUAAGAAAAUAUGUGUUAUAAUAAUAGUUAAUAAUACCCAAGAGUUCUAUAGCAUGAAUUAGUGCUUCACUGUGCUGGGCACCCUUGUUGAUUAAAGGGUACAAUAAAAUAUGGUUCCUGCUUUUAAGGAGAAUAAAAUUUAAGAGAAGUGAGCUAUCGACACUAGGCAGUAUAAGAAGCCUUUACAUUUCAAAGGACAGACUUGCUGAGGACUAUUAGAUGAAGAAAGGCAGUGUGUGCAGACUGCUGGCUACGGUGGUAAUCUGGGCUUUAGUCCUGGCUACAUCAUAUGCUAGUUAUAUGACCUUGACUAAAUAUCCUGAGACAAGGUUCUCAAAAUGAAGAUGGUUACUUACCUGACUACCCCACAAAAUCACUGGGAAGAUCUGUCUUACACCCUCAACUUUUCUUUAGUUUCCUUUGAUAUAUUAUCUAGAAUUCCAUCUUCAGCUGUCUUAUCUUUUCAAUUCCAUAAUGUCUUCCAAAGAAACGGCCUGGAUAUACCAAAGUCCCCUUAAGCCCCACAUACCCAAAAACUAUAUCAAUAAUCAGAUUUAUUAGACAGAGCACGUUUAAGAUGAUAGCAGAAUUUUCCCCAUUGUAAUUUUCACACCUACGACUUCAAUUACCAGUACAUUUAAGUUGGGAAAGUAAAUAAAAUUGUGAUCAUAUUUUCAUUUUCAAAAAAGUAACACUCCAGCAUCAGAUUGCAGGAAAAAAAUAGAGGGAAAAGGAAUGGAGCAUCCAGGCAAAAGAUUACGAGCUCAGGCAAUGGUAGUGGGCAUGGAUCAUAGUUAAAAAGGUAUUUAGGAGGAGGAUAGGCAGAUAUUUUUCCCCUCUGUGUUUUGGAACAUAGAAGCAUUGGGAUAAUCUGAUCUUUGGAGGUUUGCUAGAAUUCCCUCGUGAAACCAUUUUGGCCUUGUGCUUUUGGUGGGCUAGUGUUUUGAAAAACUGUCUCUAUUUCUUUUAUGAAAAUUAGUUUGUUUGACAUUUUAUAUACACCAGGGUUAAUAUUCUGAAUGUAUAUAUUUCAUCUAGGUGUUACAAGUUAUUAGCAGAGUUGUACCAUGUAAACUCUCAUGAUUUUUUAAAAAAAAUCCUGUUUUUAUGGUUGUUUACUUGUCAUUUCUUAUUUUGUAUAUUUGUGUUUCUUUUUUGCUUGAUUAAUUAGCUAGUGGAUUCUGUAUUUUGCUAAUAUUUCCAAAAAACCAACAUUUUAACUUUUUAAUUAAAUCUUUUUUUCUGUUUAUAACUCAUUAUUUUUGCCUUGUUUUUUAAAGAUUUUUUUUGAGGUGGACCAUUUUUAAAGUCUUUAUUGAAUUUGUUACAAUAUUGCUUCUGUUUUAUGUUUUGGUUUUUUGGCCACGAGGCAUGUGGGAUCUUAGCUCCCCGACCAGGGAUUGAACCCGCACUCCCUGCCUUGGAAGGUGAAGUCUUAACCACUGGACCACCAGGGAAGUCCCUUUUUGCCAUUAUUUUUAAUAUCCCCACUUUUUCUGUUUAUUUUUGACUGCUCCCCAGUAAAAUUUUUAUAUAUUUGUGAAGAAUUGACAUCUUUGUGAUAUUAAAUAAGUCCUAUUUAAGAACAAGGAAUGUCUUUCUGUUAAUUCAAGUGGUUAUUUAUUUAUUGUCAUCCUUUUAUUUUUUUCUGUAUAACCAUUUAAGGCCAUGAUUUUUUUUUAAUGUAAAAGGACAUUUUAUUUAUUUUGAAAUUUUUAAUUUUAUUGAAUUUAUUUUUUAUACAGAAGGUUCUUAUUCUUAUCUAUUUUAUACAUAUUAGUGUAUAUACGUUAAUCCCAAUCUCCCAAGUCAUCCCACCACCACCACCCCCUCCACUUUCCCCCCUUGGUGUCCAUACGUUUGUUCUAGGCUAUGAUUUUUUUCUCUGAUCUUCAUUCAUUAAUACUGACAAAUAGUGUCAUCAUUUCCAUUAUUUUUACAAAUAAUUCUGAAAUUUCAGUUCCCCUUUGCCUUGAGAGUUGUCUAAUAGAGAGUUAUUUAACUUUAGAUAGAAAGGCCUAUUUAUGUUUUAAUUUUGCUAUUAAGUUCUAUAUUUUUUAUAUGAGAGAAUUAUUUUUGUAUCAUUCUACUUUGUUAAACUCAUUGAGAUUUUCUUUGGACCAUAAUAUAUUGUCUAUCUUCAUGAAUGUUUAUGUGCUCUUGAAAAGAAAAUGCAUCAAUAUUUGGGAUGCAAAGUCUGAUGUAUAUUCACAUACUUUAUUGCUUAUGUUGUUUAGGGCUUCUAUAUCUUUAUUUUUUGUCAACUCCUCUUGGACUAAGAGUGAUAUAUUAAAAUUGUGCAUUACUGUGUG